GGGUGUAUAGCUCAGUGGUAGAGCAAUCGACUGCAGAUCGAUAGGUCCAUGGUUCAACUCCGUGUGCGCCCU
Molecule: transfer RNA, 72 nt
Filed under: Mnemiopsis leidyi (sea walnut)
Lineage: Eukaryota; Metazoa; Ctenophora; Tentaculata; Lobata; Bolinopsidae
Also listed under: 2 other names
Description: tRNA-Cys for anticodon GCA
Rfam family: tRNA
About the family: Transfer RNA (tRNA) molecules are approximately 80 nucleotides in length. Their secondary structure includes four short double-helical elements and three loops (D, anti-codon, and T loops).
Source: RNAcentral